CUCUGGACGGGGUGCGACCGUCCAGGUUUGUUCAGCAAAGAUUUUAAAAAAAAUAAACUUUAUUCUAGAAACAUUUAUGUGUACAGAAGCUGUCAUCGCCAAACGUCUCUAUAACAACUCGACGCACCACCUGAGGAGGAAAAAAAACAAAAAACAUCCUCUUUUUUUUUUUUAAAAGAAGUUUUGUCGGUGAGGAAAGCAGGGAGGUGUCCGAUAAUGGGCGCAUGACAUUUAGCGCACGUGUGUCACCCUCGGUUUGGGACCACCGAGUGAAACGUUGGACUUCUCGUCAUCAUCUUGCUAGCAAAUGUUAGCAACGUGUAGCUCACAUAGUGAAGACCCCGGCCGGCGGAGGGGAUCAAACCCAGCGGGUUUCUCCGGCGGUGGCCACACACUGACCUAACCCGCUACAUGGCGUUACCCGGGCAAGUUUCUAGGAAGUAGACUGAACCCAACAAAGCAUAGGCAUGUCCAAGUUAAACUAGUUCCCCAACGCAAACAAUAGCGAGCAGAAGAUGUUCAGCUCCCGCCUGAGACUUGCAUGUAUCAUUUCACACCGUUAAGCCUGAAGCAAAGAAAACUCCUCUCAUCCUCAUCUCUCCUUCCUGCAAGUCUUCCUCUGACGGAGGAUCAAUGCAACAUCCCAGAGUUUCUCCGUCUGUGAUUUCAAGAGGCCAUGGCUAAGACUAAAAGAACAUUAAGGCAAGA
This is a long non-coding RNA of Dicentrarchus labrax (European seabass), 708 nucleotides long. RefSeq lists it as uncharacterized. Lineage: Eukaryota; Metazoa; Chordata; Actinopteri; Moronidae. The record is from RefSeq and is a predicted model, not a curated record. The transcript is spliced from 3 exons.